CUCCGGCGGCCGCGCGGUUGUCCUCCGUAGCCUGACGCGAGGAGCCCGGCAGGGGGCAGCAGGAGACCGCGGUGGUCGCCGGAGCCGAGCGGAAUCAUUAAACUUCAGACUUAAGAAGAGCUUUGGAAUUAUGGAGCUUCAAUUCUCCUUCUACAGAUGAGACACUGAAACCCUUAGAGUAGGAGCCAGCAAGAGAAUGCAUGUUUUAUACCUCCUUGACAAGUAGUCUACUGUGAUUUACACAGCAUAUCCCUGCUAUCGCAGAGAAGGCGCUGGAUCCUUGACCCACUGGGCCACAGCAGGAACUCCUAUCAAAGGCCGGGGAUCAGAUCCAAACUGAAGUCUUGACCUAAACCGCUGCUAUGACAAUGCCAGAUCUUGAACUAACUGAGCCAGGCCAUGGAUCAAACCCACGUUCCAGUGCUCCCAAGAGGCCACCAAUCUCAAUGCACCCGUUGCACCAAAGGGAGAGCUCCAGUGCUGCUGAAUUUUAAAUGACUGCUGACCUUGGCUAGACAUUGGGAGAGGGAGAUGAGUGUUAUUUGUCAAAGAAUCACUGGGGAGAUAAUUUAGGGCUGCCUGUAAGCAAAAUAACAAAGAAUGGGCAGCCUCGCUUUACUGCCAUCCAGCCUGCCUCACUGCACUGCUAACUCUUGUAACUGCUAAGUAGCUGGUAUCCUCCUGCUUCUCCCUUGGUCCCUCAAAUCCCACUUUGAUACUAAGCAAUUAUUGCCUACUCCAAAGUAGAACUUCCCUCUUCACCCUUACACAUGAGCUGGACACUUAACUUUUUCACCUCUGUAACCUGCUGUUUGUUCUCAAUCCUAACUGCAUGUUAGCAUCAUCUAGGGAGCUUUUUAAAGGUACUGAAGCCCAGCUCUCCACCCCUAGAGAUUCUGAUUUAAUUGGUUUGACAUGGAGCCGAGACAUUGACCUGGCUUUCGGGUUUGGGUUUGGUUUGGAUGGUUUGGUUUGGUUUUAAAUCCUCAGUGGAUGAUUCUAAUGUAUAGCCAGAAUUGAGAAUUACUGUAACUAUGGAACUGGAGCUGCUUAAUUUUCACCUGCUGGUUAAAGCCUCACUCUGGAUUCUGGGACCAGUUCUGUUCCUAGCGGAGCCUCAGGCUAACAGCAGCUCAGCAGCUCAGCUUAAUCCCACUGUGGCCUAGACUCCCAGUUCCAUUAAUUAUAGGCUGUUGUUUUCUUGUGGUUAAUCCCUUGCCCCAAAGGAACGUGGGGAAUAAAAGAAGGGGAAACAGUUGCUGGGCAGGCAAAACAUCAGGUGUUUAAUGCCUUCCCACUGCCUUCUGCCCCCCAUCUCCUGCUCAAACCAUUGUAACAAGUUGUCCUGAAUAAAGUGUCACUUGUGACAGGUAUGGACAGGAAAUUUUCUGAUCCAUCAUCACUCAGCCAUGCCUAUGUCAAACUGCCAGAUCUUCUCUAUUUCACUACUUACACCUCUGUUAGGGAUACUUUUUAAUAAUCUCUUUCCCAGAAACAUCUUUAAUCUUUCCUUUCUUCUCCUCCUCUUGUAACUUGAACCUGGUUAAUUCUAGAAUCUUCUCUUCUCCUUCGAUUCAUUUUUAUCUCCCCAACCAUGACUAUGAUCAUGCCUAAGCAUAAGACUAGUAUCAGUGUAUUUAAACCUGAAAAAAAAUAGAAGUGACAUGUUUUUAAGUGAAAUUUUAGUGUAAAAAAGGAAGAACAACCUCUACAGUUUAUAAAAGUGCUAAUAAAAGCUCCUGGGAGUUCCCGUCGUGGCGCAGUGGUUAA
Long non-coding RNA from Sus scrofa (pig), 1770 nucleotides. RefSeq lists it as uncharacterized. The record is from RefSeq and is a predicted model, not a curated record. NCBI's taxonomy places the organism in Eukaryota, Metazoa, Chordata, Mammalia, Artiodactyla, Suidae.